Molecule: long non-coding RNA, 4998 nt
Filed under: Ricinus communis (castor bean)
Lineage: Eukaryota; Viridiplantae; Streptophyta; Magnoliopsida; Malpighiales; Euphorbiaceae
Description: long non-coding RNA (RCOM_LNC001530)
Source: RNAcentral
GGCUAUAGUGAUACUGAAAAUGCCAGAGUUAAUCUUUGAAUACACUGGGGGCUUUCGCAUUUGCUCUUUUAAGUUAUUUAUUUUCCUUAACAAAGUUCUAAUACAGUUAAAGUACCAGUCUCUGAGUCCUGAGUCCUAAAGUUUGAGCUCCAGUCCUACGUUAAUGGAGUUGGGUAGGCUCAUGACAUAUUAAUUAACAGAGGACCCACAUAAACUUAUUAUAGAUUUUGCAACAGUCAUGAUACAUGGCUACUACGUAAUCAUCAUUUUCUAAUCUCACAGCAACAGCUGCGAAGGGCUAGUGAUCACUGAUCAUGAUCUUUAUUAACUACUUCAUAUAUAUAUAAUCCUGCGACUUUAGAACCGGCAUUCGGUUGGUGAGACGCCGCACAUUGAUGGCAAAUUCGCAGCUGUCCUGAAAGCCUCAAAAACAUCCUGACCUUGAAGUUGCCCCUGGCUCUGUUGCUGCUCAAUAGCCUGCCUCAGACCCUCGCAUCUGCACUGUGACUGCAUCUGCUUGAGAUGGUCACAGCACCCACGAAGAGACCGUUCUUGAUUGUCACUUCUUCUUGGUCCCUGUCCGGAAACUUGUUGUUUGAUAUAUUCCUGGCAUUGCCUGAGAUUUUGUUGCUCUUGAAUCUGCCCACGACACCCCUGCUGGCUUGGGUUUGUUCGAGUUUGGCGCAUGCAACGCACACCGCAAGAAGAUACAAUUUCACCUGCUCUCUGCGCCACUCUUUCAGACUCUUCUCCAUGUAGCUGUCCCUGCUGAAUCUGAUCCUCUGCGAUAUAUUUGAUUGCUUCACAUUGGCAUUCAUCUCUUACUUGCUUUACCUGAUUGCAGCAUUGCUGGAGUUGCUGGCUCUCCUGCUGCUGGUUUUCAUCUCCAGGCAUCCUUAACACUUCUUCUCCUGGUGAUCUUCUUGAACUUGAUUGCCUCAGGUAUCGCUCGCAGGAGCUCAAGUCCUUCCUCUGAACUUCCUGGCGGCAUUGCUGCGAGCUCGAUCCUUCCCUUUCACCCUUUGACUCGUCAAUCUCAAUGGUGGUGAUGGUGGUCCUGUAAGCGAAAGACGCAUUGGCAAUGAUGAACAAGAGAACACUAACGAGAGCAAUUGUGGGUAUGAGCUUUGCCAUUGUUACUGAAUAUCAGAAAGCUGCUCUUAUGGAAUAUAGUAGAUGAUGGUAAUGGGCUCUUAUAGGAAAUUUAGGGGAGUGCAUGUCGAGAACGUGUAAGAUUUAUGGAAUGGCCAGUCAUUUCUGGCAUUUUUAUGGGGUGGCUACCUAUGGUUUUGAGAUCUGCUUUAAGCUUACACGUAUGGCAGCAGCAUGCAAUUUCUGUUUGCUUCAUAUGAUUCUUUUUAUGGAUUUUGCUGUUGAUGUUGUUGAAGUAUAUAAUUUUAAAUUUAUUUUAUUUUUUAUGUACAUUUGAUAAUAAUUAUAUUUUUUUAUUAAUAAAAAUAUGACAUAUAUAUAAAUAUUUUAUAUUUUAAUAUUAGGUAGUUAAUAUAUAUUUUAUUAUUUAAAAUUAAUAAAAUAUAUAUCAGUCAUCUAUCAAUUUAGUAUAUAACUGCAGACAUAUAUCAGGUUGAGAUAAAAAAUUCAUCUGCUUUAUUAUAUAUUUAUAUGUUCUUGAGUUAAAAGAACAAAGCAUAUAUAAUUUCUUUCGAGAAGAAAUAUAGAUAUUCUAUUAAUGAGAAUUUGAUAGAUAUAUUUUAAUAUAAAAAAUAAAAAUAAAUAUCAAAUAUCAAAAAAUAUAUAUAAAAAAAUUAUUUUUAACAAUCAUCAAUCGUGUUGAUGGAACAAUAAAUUACAAUUUCGUGAGAAAUAUGCUUUAUUAGGUGGCACUAAGUUACAUAUCAAUUUUACAAAUAUUUUUUAAUGAGUCUAAUUGUUUCAAUGUCAAUUUUGAUCUUUUUUUUUUUUCACCGUUGCUAUAGAGUAAGAAUUCAACGUCUCUGUAAUGAAAAAUCAUAAAACACUUAUAAAAAGAGAACUCAAAACCGAUAUACCUCUAUAAUGGAAAACUACAAAAUCCUUUAAGAAAAUUAAUAAUAAAAAAAUAUUACUAAUUUAAAAGUGAUAUAACGGAGGACGACAAAAUCUUUUAAGAAAAAUACUAAUAUCUAUUUAUAAAAUUAAUUAAUAAUAAAAAGUUAUUGCUAAUCGGCGGUAGAUUAAAAAAAUAAGAUUUUAAUAGAAAAAAACAAACAGCUUGAGUUUUUUUAAAAGUAGCUUGAAAUGCUAUUUUUGUAAAGUAUAUAUAAUUAAUUUGAGGGUUAAAUUUCAUUUUUAUCAAUCACUAUUAUUUUAUAGUAUAAAACGCUAAGAGCCAAUUAGUAAUAUAAAGAAUCUAGAAUUGCAUUAGAAGAUAAUUUUUACAUAUACAUUAACAGUAGUUUAAAGGAAAGAUAAAAAGAAAUGUUGUUUUCUUUUUUCAAACAUAGAAUAAAAUCUUAUUGCUUUUGCAGUAAUCCUUUUCUAAUAUGGUUUUGUUUCCUGUUAAUGUGCACAUCUAAAUACUCAUUAGAUUAAUUUUAUACAAAACUGCUUGCACAAGAGAAUUAUGAGUUGUCGCACUUACCGUUAUUUAUUUAUUUCUAAUUAUAUAAAUAAUAAUAACAAAAUAAAUCCCUGUAAUUACAGAUAAUUGAAUUUAAUUAUAUAAAAUAAUUUACUUGUCAUAGUAAACAAAGUAAUUAUAGAAUUUCUCUUAAUAAAAACUAGUCUUCCACAUUACAAAACUAUUGAUGUUAUUUUUAUUAAUAUAAAAUAAAGUUAUAAAAGAUAAUAAAAUUUCAAAUCUUUAGAAUUAUUUAUCAUAUCUUUUUUUUAUUAAAUUAUUUAUCAUAUUUUAAAAUAACAACAAUUAAAAUUAAUAAUAUCUAAAUAAUAUAUAUAUAUAUAUAUAUAUAAUAUACAUUCUUAAUAUAGUUAUUUAUUAACUUACUAACUUAUUUAAUUAAAUAUAUUUAUUCAUAUCACAUGAAGAUUAGAUGAAUCUAUUUAUCUAAAUUUAAUUUAUUUUCUCGUAUCAUACUUGACUUAAAUAUAUUUAUCGUUUGUAUUAUAAAUUAUUAAACUUAACUACAUGCUGUAUCAUUUAAUAAAUUUAUAUAAUUUCUUCUCAUAUUAUUUAAUAGAAUCGUAUCAAAAAUAUUAAAUCUCAUUACAUAUCGUGUUAUUUGAUUUGGUGGUAUCAAAACCUACCAAUCUAAAUAAGCAGUUACUUUCUUUGAUGAAAAUCAGUGGUUCAAUUAUUGCGUAAUUUGAGAUUAUUGGAUCAAUCUAUUAUAUUCUAUAUUCUAUACAGAUCAGUUAAUUAUUGUUUUGCUAGCCAAUCAUUUAAGCAACGUUAUUUAUUUCAUAUUAUAUCUCGAGAAAAAUAAGUAAGUUUAAAUUACUUAAUUCUGUUAUUCUAUAUGAUGAGGAUUUAAAUUUAAAUAAAAAUAUGCACGUACUAUUCAAAUUUAAUUAAAAUUUAAAUAUCUAUAUUAAAUAUUCAAUAUAUCAAUACAAUCUAAAUAUAAAUAUAAUAUCUAAAAUAAUAAAAAUACGAGUUAAUUAAUAAAAUUUAAAAUAAUAUUUUAGAUAAUAAAAAUAUAAUUUAAUAUUAUAUAAUCAAAUUUAAAUAAACUUAAAUUUAAAUUCAACCCAAAUCCGAUAUAUUAUGAUUUUUAUUUGAAUUCGUCUUGAGUAUAUAUAUAUAUGUACAUUGGAGGAUUCAGUACUUUGGAUUAAUUAGAAGAAGAAUGUAGACUUUUGAUAAAAUUACUAGUUGACUAAUAAACCUUAAAACUUACAUAUUAAGUAAAGCAACAACUUAGAAAGCCUUAGAACUUGCGUACACACAUCAUAUAUUUGUUUAUGAGUAAUGCCACACUCGAUUAGUCGUGGUCGUCUCAAUCACCUAAUCUCCAGCUACAAAUUGCCACGAUAGAGGUGAUCAGGCUCUUUAUUAGCUAGCUAUAUGUACAUGCAUCGUGUGUAAUAUUACCACACAUAGUUUAUUUUAAAAUCCCAAACCAGGCUCAAACUGGCAUGGGCUCGGUGACACACCGCACCUUGAUGGCAAAUCUUGAGCUAUCCUGAAUGCCUCGCGAACAUCUUCCCCCUCAAUCUGUCCCUCGCUCUGUUGCUUCUGAAUAGCCUGUCUCAGACCCUCGCAUCUGCACUGUGAUGUCAUCUGCUCGAGAUGGUCACAGCAUAAAGGAUAGUAGUCCAUUCUCGGUCCCCAUCCGGUAACUUCUUUCUUGAUAUAUUGCUGACAGCGCCACAGAUUCUGCUGCUUUUCAAUCUCUGCACUACAUGAACCUCUUUGUUGCUGAUGAAUAUCCUGUCUUAGAAUAUUGUUUGCGUCCUCAGCGUCCACUAUGACAGUUGUUCGGUAGAUGGAGGCAUCUACCAAGAAGAGUAGAGCUAUGAAGCUUGCUAAAAGGAUGGCGAGUUUUGCCAUAGAUGAUGAGUACUUGUAGAAGUGGAUUAUUUUGCUUGGUGGGCGAGUAGAGUGAUGAGGGUUAAUUUAUAGGGUUUUCAGGGGUUUUGCAUGGUGUGUACGUGUUGUAUUGAUUGGAAUUAAGGUUACACGUUGUUUGCUGCAGCGACACGUAUAAUUGUGCCAUAAUGUUGGUCAUGAAUUCUGUUAAUUGAAUUGAAAUACAUCCACAUUAUUUGCGGGAUAAAUUUUCUAACUUUUGAUUCAAGUUAAAUUAUAUAUAUAUAUAUAUAUAAUAUAUAUUAAGCGUGGUCUAUGGAUAAUAUAUUAUCUUUUUUAAUACUUAAAAUGUAAUGUGUGAAAACUUAAAAUGUAAUAUAUCUAAUUUUAUUUACAAGUCAUUCUUAUAUAUUGAAAACUUAAAAUAUUAUUCUCUAUUUUUAGUUCAAUAAUAAAACAAUUACUUUUGAAAAAAAGUCUCUUACAAAAUAUUAAUUAAUUAAAAUUAAUUCUGAAGCACUCAUAUAUAUUAUUUAAAAAUAUAUAAUAAUUUAAGUUUAUCCACU